CUUUCUGCCGCAGCCAGAAGCCGGGCCUCGGCUCUGAUCUCUGCCCCACAGCCUGUCACCUGGCUGGCUGGCUUCGGCACAGAGAGAGAUGUGAGGUGUGGGCUCCUGGUGCCAAGUUCCCCACCCUACUCUGUGCCCGCCGGGGGCUCUUGCCCUGCACAGAAGCAGGAAACACAGAAGCACCAGAAAGAGGAGGAAUCCAGGAGUCAGCUGAGGGGAGUAUCCUCUGGAUCAAAGUCUGAAAUGAUGCAGGAGAAGCCGCCGUGGUGUGCUAGGGCUUCGCUGGGGAAGAAGGGCUCAUGGCAGGCCACACUCUUCAAAGGUGAGAAGGAUAGGGACCCUAAAUAGGAGGAAGGAGACACAAAGAGGGAGGGGAAAUAGGUGCUGGGUUUCGAUUUGUCCUUUGCCGGAGGGUGGCUAGUCUUUGGUGGCUGACUGUACAGCUCCAGCCACCUAUUUCCCAACAUUUUACUGCAAUGCACUCUACGUGGGGCUACCUUUGAAGAUGGCCCGGAAACUACAACUAAUCCAGAAUGCGGCAGCUAGACUGGUGACUGGGAGUGGCCGCCGAGACCACAUAACACCGGUCUUGAAAGACCUACAUUGGCUCCCACUACAUUUCUGAGCUCAAAGUGUUGGUGUUGACCUUUAAAGCCCUAAACGGCCUCGGUCCAGUAUACCUGAAGGAGCGUCUCCACCCCCAUUGUUCUGCCCGGACACUGAGGUCCAGCGCCGAGGGCCUCCUGGCGGUUCCCUCCCUGCGAGAAGCAAAGCUACAGGGAACCAGGCAGAGGGCCUUCUCGGCAGUGGCGCCCGCCCUGUGGAACGCCCUCCCAUCAGAUGUCAAAGAGAUAAACAACUACCUGACAUUUAGAAGACAUCUGAAGGCAGCCCUGUUCAGGGAAGUUUUUAAUGUGUGACAUUUUGAUGUAUUUUUAAUCCUUGUUGGAAGCCGCCCAGAGUGGCUGGGGAAACCCAGCCAGAUGGGCGGGGUACAAAUAAUAAAUUAUUAUUAUUAUUAUCUGCUAUCUGAUAGCACGGAAAGAGAUUUCGACCUCUCUAAGGGUGAUAGGCUACAUUCACAACAUACAUUUAAGGCACUGUGAUACCACUUUAAACCAUCAUGGCUUCUCCCAAAGGAUUCUGGGAGGGUGGUUUGUUAAGGGUGCCGAGAGUGGUCAGGUGACUACUAUUUCCCCUCUCAAAACUACAGUUCCCAGAGAUGCCUGUGAAGAGGGAUUGACUGUUUAAGCUACUCUGGGAAGUUCUUGAGCGCUGCAGUCCAGCAGUGAGCAGGACACACAAUCACAUUUUUUUUAAAAAAAAUUGAUUUAUAUACCGUUCCUCAUCUGAAGAGCACAGAAUUGUUUACAUAUAACUUUGAAAAACCGUAACAUAACCUUUAGAGGAGGCCCUUUUCUCAGUCCUGUCCCCUUCACAGCCAAUCUUGGUUGGGAUGUAGGACAGGGCCUUCUCAGUGGCUGCUCCCAAAUUUUGGAGCUCCUUUCCUAGAGAAGUUAGACCGGUUUCUUCCUUGUCCUUCCUUUCUUAUUUCAACAUGCUUUUAGGAACGGACUAUUCUUAAGGAAAGGGCUGGUGCUGUGAUGUUUUUAUUGUUAUUAUCUCUAUUUUUAAUAGAUCAUAAAUGUGUGUUUGUGUGUGUGUUUAAUUAUCUUUUAAUGAUUUUUUUCCCUAUGUUUGUAGCUUUUGAGUCCCCGUCUGGGAAAAAGCUGGGCUAUAAAUAAAUAUUAUAAUAAAUAUAACAAAAACAACCACACACAUGAACAUAGGGAAUUGUUUUAUUAUGUACUUGAAUUGUGAAUGUUGACAUUUCAAUAUUUGUGCAAUUUGUUUUUAUAAUCCACUCAGAAGCCUAUUUUAGCAUCAAGUGACAUAUAAACUAUGAAAUUAUAAUGGAAAGAGAUGGAAAGAAGAUAAAGUCCCUGCCAGAGAAGAAUGGCAGAUCAAGUUGAUGCACUGUGCCGAAAUGGCUAAAAUGACCGGAAGAAUCAGAAAUCAGGAAGACCAAAAUUUUAAUAGGGAAUGCGGAAAAUUUAUAACUUGUCUUAAAGACCAUUGUAAACAGUUAAAAUCGUUAGUAGGAUUGGAAUAUCACUUGUAGUUUACUGGUGAAUCUUGGACACAAUGGAGGGAUAGAAGAUUUGGAUUAUUAUUUGAUAUGUUAAUUGGAUGCCUUUUAUUGGAAAAUUAAUAAACGAUCUAACAAAAAAAGAAAGAUUUGCAUUAUCAUAAAAGAUACAGGAGGAAAUGAUCAACAAUAGGACCCACAAAGGGGAGGAGAAAACUCCAGGAGAUUCUUUGGAAUCUUGUUUUUAUGCUGCAUGUCAGAUGUGUGACUGUAAAAUUUUAAUCUGAAAAACCAAAUACCGUAUUUUUUGCUCUAUAAGACUCACUUUUUCCCUCCUAAAAAGUAAGGGGAAAUGUGUGUGCGUCUUAUGGAGCGAAUGCAGGCUGCACAGCUAUCCCAGAAGCCAGAACAGCAAGAGGGAUUGCUGCUUUCACUGCACAGCGAUCCCUCUUGCUGUUCUGGCUUCUGAGAUUCAGAAUAUUUUUUUCCUUGUUUUCCUCCUCCACAAACUAGGUGCGUCUUAUAGAGCGAAAAAUACGGUAAAUAAAUUGUACAAAAGGAAAAGAAAUUAUAAUAUGAGGGCGUGUUUUUGCUCUUCUUUUCCCCGCUUCAUGCUGCAGCCUCCAUCCUGAGUUCCUGCUUCCUCUGGACUCAAGCCCAGGCCAAGACUGGAAUACCUAUCAAAGUUGAACCAGAAAUACUGCAAGAAGGACAGAGUGUCACAUUAACACCAGGAGAUAUUGAUGUGACCACACUUCGUAGCUGCAAAUGGUACCGAGGGUCAAGUGCUGACGGAAAUCGAAUCUUCACCUAUUUCCUAGCUCCGGUGAUUUCACAGAAAAACGGAUCUGCCUUCACUGACAGGGAGACUGGGAGAAGAGACUGUUCCCUUCGUAUCACAGAUUUAACACCAAGCGACUCUGGAACCUAUACACUGGAACCAGAAGGACCUCUGGAACACAGAAUAGGGGCUAUCAAUAUAACCGUCCCAGGUAUGAUGAGCUUGUUCUCCAGUCAUUCUGACCUUUUAUGCACCCAAAUUUGCCUCCUCUGCUGAGCUUCGAGGGCCAAAUGACUCUGGAACCUAUACAUUUAAUGUUUUAAUGUUGUAUUUUAAGUUGUAUUCAUUCAACUUGUUUUUAUUAUUGGUUGUUAGCCGCCCUGAGCCCAGCCUUGGUUGGGGAGGGCAGGGUAUACCGUAUCUUUCGCUCCAUAGGGCGCACCGGACCAUAGCACGCACCUAGUUUUUAGAGGGGGAAAUAAAGGGGGGAAAUUGUUUCCCUUAUCACCCUCAAAAAGCAAAGAAGCCAAGACAACGAGCGGGAUCCAUCCCGCUGGAAGUCUUGGCUUCCUCUUUAGCCACGCGCAACCUCUCCAGCCGGGAGAGGCUGCGCACGGCUUCGUUUUUAGCCGUGGGGCUGGGGCGGGGGAAGCUCGAGCUUCCCAUGACCCCAGCCCCCAGAACAGGCUGCUAUCCGCAAGCCUGUGGAGCCCAGUGGGAACUCCCACCUGGCUCCGAAGGCUUGCGGAUAGCUGCCUGGAGAGCAAGAGGGGUCGGUGCGCACUGGGAAAACUUUAGAAAUUCAUAUAGGCAUGUGAGCUCAGCUACUGAGCAGCCCCUCUGCCUGAGUGAUAAUCCCUGGCAUCCUGAUACCUGAGUGCCAGACAGGUAGCCAUUCCAGAAAUAACAAACCCAGAUGAAGACAAAAGGGUGUGAUUAUCUUGGCUGGAAACAGGGAAAUGUAAAUAUCUCUUUUGUCACACUUGAUGGGUGUUUGGUGGAGGGCAAGGGGAACCAUGGGGCAGGGUCCAGGAUGCUCAGAUUACUGCCACCAGACCUCCCCUUUCAUGAUGUAACCAUGAUGUAUUAGUGAUGUAGUUUUGGGGGGUGUAACAUGGGGAUUAGCAGCUAAUAAAAGUUUGGGUUCUCUUUUGUUUGGGGCUUCCAUCUUGUUCCACCUUGUGGCAGGUGGGAGUCCUGUCACGACAGUCUUCAAUAAAGACCAAGCCUACUGGCUGCUGUUUUGCUCUGGUAUUCCUGGCUGGUGUCUUUGUUUUUUUGUCCAAGGGAGCCCUCAGAUUUCUCCGUUAACAAGGGUCCGCCGAUGGAAGGAAACUCAGCCGCUGCCUAUUACCACCCUUCACUUAAGGAACAGAUCCAUGGUAGCGCCUGCUCUGGGUGGGAAAUUGCAGGGCCUGAGUUGCCUGGCUUUUUAAAAGAUUCUUUCAUUUCUGUGUUUUGCAUCAUGACUAUGUUAUUCUUUCCUCCAUUCACCUCAAAGGCCUUGAUGUGUUUGAAAAGAGGCGGUCAGCCAGGUGAAUGUUGGUCCUUAUUGCUGCCAUUGCUGCGUUCCUCAAAACCUUCUUUCUGGUUCCAGAUUCUGCUCUGCUGGAAGCAGGAGUCGUUUCUCGGAUUGUCGUUGGGUCUCUGGUUGCGCUGACGUUGUUUGGAACACUGCUUUGUGUCUUGUUCUGUGAGUAAGACGUUGGAAGUGCGGAGCCUCAGAUUCCUGGGUCCUGUUGCCAACUACUGGAGCCCAGGGGUAUUGCUGGACAGGGCAGGGGCAGAGGGUCUGCAGAAACAAAUGUGCAUAAAAUGUGUUUGUGCUAACUUAGACAUAAAUGCCACAUUAUUAUUAUUAUUAUUAUUAUUAUUAUUACCCCGCCCAUCUGACUGAGUUUCCCCAGCCACUCUGGGCGGCUCCCAACAGAAGACUAAAAACAGGAUAAAACUUCAAACAUUAGAAACUUCAGAUGUCUUCUAAAAGUCAGAUAGUUGUUUAUUUCCUUGACAUCUGAAGGGAGGGUGUUCCACAGGGCAGUCGCCACCACCAAGAAGGCUCUCUGCCUGGUUCCCUGUAACCUCACUUCUCACAGUGAGGGAACCGCCAGAAGGCCCUCGGCGCUGGAUCUCAGUGUCCAGGCUGAACGAUGGGGGUGGAGACGCUCCUUCAGGUAUACUGGGCCGAGGCCGUUUGGGGCUUGAAAGGUCAGCACCAACACUUUGAAUUGUGCUCGGAAACGUCCUGGGAGCCAAUGUGGGUCUUUAAGGACCAGUAUAAUAUGGCCUCGGUGGCCACUCCCAGUCACCAAUCUGGCUGCCACAUUCUGGAUUAGUUGGUAGUUUCCAAGUCACCUUCAAAGAUAGCCCCACAUAGAGCACAUUGCAGUAACCCAAGUAUGAGAUACCAUACUUUUCCAUGUAUAAGACUAGGUUAUUUUAUUUAAUAAUUAUGUUCAAAAUUGUAGGAUGUCGUAUACAUGGAUACAAUCAACCCCCCAUUUUCUCAAUUUGGAGUCCCCAAAAAUAGGGGGCGUCUUAUACAUGGGGGCAUAUUAUACACAGAAAAAUACGGUAACUAGAGCAUGCAAGCCAUCCAUGUCACACACCCCAAAAAAAUUCUUCAGUUAAGUCCCUCUUCCAUUCAUUUAUUCCCCUUUUAAUUUUCUGACAGAUCCUGCUCCAAAUCAGUUCUGCUUCUAUCAUCUCAAUUCUUUACCCCAAUAUCAUCCCUUAUUAUAAAGAAAAAAGCAUAAAAGCAAAGGUCUGUGUAGGGUGAAUGUUCAGGUUUGAUUCCCACUUUUCUUCCUCCUUUAGGGGCCUGUCGUUUGAGAUUUAAGAAUUCUGCCCAGAUUGUAUCUGCACCUCCUUUACCUGAUGAUGUUCCCUUUUCUGGACAGGUGAGACCUCAGUAUAGCGAGGGAAGCCGUUUGCACUGCCAAAUCCUAUUUCAAGUCUAUUUUCAGCAUGCAGACUAUGUGCAGUCCAUUUAUGAAUGUGAGAGGAUUGCAAGGGCCCUGCCCCAAGGAAUAUACAAUCAGUAAGGCAGGAAAAGGAUUAGCAGUUGACAACUCAGCAAAGAGGGUGGGGUUGGGACAAGAAAAAUCAGCUUUCUAAAAGGGGAGCUGCCCUCCUCUGGGGCGUUAAAAAAUGUUUUGCAAGCCUGCAUCUCCCCAGAGUUCACCUAAGCCUGUUGAUACCCGCCUUCAUUUCUCAACGGAUCCAUUUUGGUUCAAUUUCUGUUGCCACACAGCACUCAACCAGAGCCAGGGUCUUUUCAACACUGGCUGCAGCCUGGUGGAACGCUCUGCCUCAUGAGGCCAGGGGCCUGCAGGAUCUGAUUUCUUUCUGCAGGGCCUGUAAGACAGAGUUGUUCUGCCUGGCCUUUGGCUUGGAAUCGACUUGAUUCCCUUCCCCUCUUUUCUUUUUCCUUUCUCCUUCUGUGAUGGAACUCCUAUUUGGGGACUUCCUUGGCUUUUUCUGGCCCAUGUAGGACCAGUCUGGAUACAGUGGUGCCUCACAAGACGAAAUUAGUUCGUUCCGCGAGUCUUUUCGUCUUGCGAUGUUUUUCGUCUUGCGAAGCACGGUCCGUCGCAACUGUGCCUCUUCAAGCGGCUUUAAGAAAAAAGCGAACAAACUCGCAAGACGAAAUAGCAAGCCCAUAGGGAAAUUCGUCUUGCGAAGCAGCUCAAAAACCGCAAAACCCUUUCGUCUAGCGAGUUUUUCGUCUUGCGAGGCAUUCAUCUUGCGGGGCACCACUGUAGUUGGCCUUGGUGAAGAUUUGAUGUUUUCAUCCCCAAAAAGUUUUUGAUUUGAGUUUCUACUGAAAUGAGGCUGCAUUUUCAUGUUGUAUUUUAAUCUUGUUUUUAAGUUGUAUUUUAAUCAAUAGUUUUAUACCUGGUGUUAGCUGCCUGCCGGGUCUUGGCUGGGGAGGGCAGGGUAUAAAUUAUUAUUAUUAUUAUUAUUAUUAUUAAGUUUGCUAUUAGAACUAGCCAUAUUCAGAAUUCAGCACUAACACACUGUCUGGGCUCAACAGUUCAUCAGUCCCUGCUACUGGUGCUGUUGCUUAAUAACCAAUAACUGUUCUUUAGCAUCAUUACUAUUACUGUUGUUUAUAUUAAAUCCAGGUCAAGUCUGACAGCUCCUCUGAUCCCAACCGCAUGUACCAGGUAGGUGAAGGUCCGUCACAUUUAUCCUUCUCUCAGAAAAGACAUGUGAUCCCAUGUGAUCUCCUCUCCCAAAGGGACAGAGCCACUGGAAGGAAAGGCCCUACCAACCUUCUUAAGUCCUCAGAUGACUUUGGUCUCUGGCUGAAACAACAUCCACUUUAACUCAGCAACAUGGUUGACUGGGAGCUGUCCAUGGUCCUGAUUUACCUGGCCUGACCAAGCCCCUGAGCCCUAGCAGAAUCAGAGGCAGAAACUUUCAGACAUGUACACAAACACCUCCUCCACAUAUGCUGACCUUGUAAAGGAACAUCUUAACAUCCAAGGUGAUGGGGGAUUUGUUCUGAAUAUGGAUUCAGGUUUCCUCCUCCCUGCUUUCCAUACUGAUGCCUUCCUCUUCCUCUUCCUUUCUUGGUUAAAAGUUGUUUGUCUUAAGAACUUAGAAGAGUUCUUAAGAAAACUUGCAAAACGGACGGGAAGAGUUAGAGGAGUACUGAACCAGAAAAUAUUUGGAGAAUAGAGAAUAUUUAAGGAUUAUAUAAGAUCAUAUUGUACCAAUCACACCAUAUUAGCAGAACUUGAGUGAUACUUGUAAACACAACAAAUACCGUUUGUGGAGUAGAUGGGAACAAUAUUAAAGAAUAUAAAACUGUGCAAAAAACCCGACAGUAUAAACAGUACAAUGAGAAUGAUUGGAAGACUCAUUUUGUCAGAAGUAUUUUUUAUUUAAGUGUUUAAUUUUGUAUUAAUUAGGAGGAUUAAGGUGUUUUUUAUGUAUGUAAAUUUGCUUUUUCUUCUUUCUUUUUUCUGUAUUUUCUUUUCUUUUUUCUUAAUUGUUUUUUCUUUAAUUUUCUUUUUGUAGUAUGAGAUUGUAAAUUCUUUGUAUAAGUGGGUAAUUUAAAUUAAUAAAGAUUUUUUAUAUAUAUUAAAAAGAACUUAGAAGAGUCUUAAAAUAAAUAAUUAAAGUACAGUAUUAGUUUAAAAGAUUCCCUUUUCCUGCUCAAUUGUCAAAGACUCGGGACAAUUUUAUGGUAGGUAAGUCUAUUAAUGGCUAUUAAUAUGGCUGGCUGUGUGGAACCUCCACGGUUAGAAUCAUAGGCUCACGGAACGGUAAAGUUGGAAGGGACCCAAACGGUCAUCUAGUCCAACCCCCUGCAAUACUAGAGAUGGCCAUUCAACCUCAGUGGCCAACUUCCCAAGAUACCCAGGUUAAAAAAGAAGAAAAGAAAGUUUUGCUCUCGGUGCUUCUGUCUCAUGCAACUCCAUUUCAUCCUCAGGCCCUCCAACAGAGAGACCAGCCAAUGUACAACCAGCCGAAGUGGUAAUGCAUGAACCCACCAAUGUCCAUUUUACUUCUGAAUUGGAGCUUCAAUGGAAGGGCACACCCUGGAAGUCCGAAGUACAGCCCCCUGGUUCUCUGGUUAAAGGGAUCUUGUGGAAGGGCAAAGGAGACCUUGGAGAUCCAGUUGGAAUAAAAGUUCUGAGCUAGCUCUGAAUCUGCAUGAAAUAGUUUCCGAUGCCCUACUCUGGGAAGCUCUCCCUGUAAUGGCCAUUAAAUUCAUCAAAAUGUUACUUGUGUGGCCAGUGACUGAGUCUGCAAAUAUAGCUCAUGGCAUCCUUUGCCAACCAGGUGCCUGGCAGAUGUUUUUGAUUACAACCCCCAUCAGAUCCAGCCAACCUCUGGGGAGCACCUGUUUCUGGAUUAAAGAAACAGAAAACCAUAUUCCAUUUUUUGCUAUGGACGGAGCUGGUCCAAAAGAAUUGGUUGCCCGAGGCAACAAGAGUAGUUGAGCAUUUCUUUUUGGCAAAGUUGUUGAGCUUGCAAAAGUUCUUCCUUCUUGGCAGCAAUAAGUAAUUAGCAAUUUGUUAUACUUUCAAAUCAGCUGCCCGAGGCUGCUAUCUCACUCUGCCCAAUGGAAGGGCCAGCCCUGGCUAAUGGGCCAACUGCCUCCUUUCUUGGUGGUGUAAGAACAUGCCCCAGGGUCAAGGUAAAGGACCCCUGGAUGGUUUGUCCAGUCAAAGGCAACUAUGGGUUUGUUGCACUCAUCUCGCUUCAGGCCAAGGGAGCCGGUGUUUGUCCACAGACAGCUUUGUGGGUCAUGUGGCCAGCAUGAAUAAACCGCUUCUGGCACAACGGAACACCAUGAUGGAAACCUGAGCAGCACACGGAAACUCUGUUUACCUUCCCGCCGCAGUGGUACAUAUUUAUCUACUCGCGUGUGCUUUUGAACAUGGUAUAUCCAGUUGGUUAGGACUGAAAAUCCAAGGAAGAUGAUCACUUAAGUUCGCAAUGCUUUGCCCAGGCCUUCUCCAACCCAUAACCCCAGAAUCUCUGUUUCAUUUGCUUUUAUAUAUUUUAUACAGUGGUACCUCAGGUUAAGUACUUAAUUCAUUCCGGAGGUCCGUUCUUAACCUGAAACUGUUCUUAACCUGAAGCACCACUUUAGCUAAUGGGGCCUCCUGCUGCUGCCGCGCCACCGGAGCACGAUCUCUGUUCUCAUCCUGAAGCAAAGUUCUUAACCCGAGGUAAUAUUAUUUCUGGGUUAGCGGAGUCUGUAACCUGAAGCGUAUGUAACCCGAGGUACCCCUGUACUGUUUUAUUUGUUUUGGGUAGUAUUUCAGAGAGAGAGAGUACAUAGUACACCACUUACAGAUUUUAAGCACUUUGGAAAUGCUUUUAAAUAAAUCAAUGAAGCUGCUGGUAGAUGC
RNAcentral lists this long non-coding RNA (9745 nucleotides) under Podarcis lilfordi (Lilford's wall lizard). The record is from RNAcentral. Lineage: Eukaryota; Metazoa; Chordata; Lepidosauria; Squamata; Lacertidae.